GACGAACGCUGGCGGCGUGCUUAACACAUGCAAGUCGAACGGAAAGGCCUCUUUCGGGGGGUACUCGAGUGGCGAACGGGUGAGUAACACGUGAGUAACCUGCCCUUGACUUUGGGAUAACUUCAGGAAACUGGGGCUAAUACCGGAUAGGAGCUCCUGCUGCAUGGUGGGAGUUGGAAAGUUUCGGCGGUUGGGGAUGGACUCGCGGCUUAUCAGCUUGUUGGUGGGGUAGUGGCUUACCAAGGCUUUGACGGGUAGCCGGCCUGAGAGGGUGACCGGCCACAUUGGGACUGAGAUACGGCCCAGACUCCUACGGGAGGCAGCAGUGGGGAAUAUUGCACAAGGGGUGGAAGCCUGAUGCAGCAACGCCGUGGGCGGGAUGACGGCCUUCGGGUUGUAAACCGCUUUCGCUCAUGACGAAGCUUUGUGUGACGGUAGUGGGUAAAGAAGCACCGGCUAACUACGUG
RNAcentral lists this ribosomal RNA (467 nucleotides) under uncultured bacterium. RNAcentral describes it as "partial 16S ribosomal RNA". It matches the Rfam family "Bacterial small subunit ribosomal RNA", at positions 28 to 507 of the family's 1533-position model. The record is from RNAcentral.